UACGUAGGUGGCAAGCGUUGUCCGGAUUUACUGGGUGUAAAGGGCGCGUAGGCGGGGAAGCAAGUCAGAUGUGAAAUCCAUGGGCUUAACCCAUGAACUGCAUUUGAAACUGUUUUUCUUGAGUAUCGGAGAGGCGAGCGAAAUUCCUAGUGUAGCGGUGAAAUGCGUAGAUAUUAGGAGGAACACCAGUGGCGAAGGCGGCUUGCUGGACGACAACUGACGCUGAGGCGCGAAAGCGUGGGGAGCAAAC
This 250-nucleotide ribosomal RNA is filed under the name uncultured prokaryote. RNAcentral describes it as "partial 16S ribosomal RNA". It matches the Rfam family "Bacterial small subunit ribosomal RNA", at positions 524 to 773 of the family's 1533-position model. The record is from RNAcentral.